This 584-nucleotide ribosomal RNA is filed under the name uncultured fungus. RNAcentral's name for it is "SSU rRNA". It matches the Rfam family "Eukaryotic small subunit ribosomal RNA", at positions 1197 to 1800 of the family's 1831-position model. The record is from RNAcentral. Lineage: Eukaryota; Fungi.
GACUCAACACGGGGAAACUCACCCGGUCCGGACACCGUAAGGAUUGACAGACUGAUAGCUCUUUCUUGAUUCGGUGGUUGGUGGUGCAUGGCCGUUCUUAGUUGGUGGAGUAAUUUGUCUGGUUUAUUCCGAUAACGAGCGAGACUCUAGCCUGCUAAAUAGAACGAGGAUAAACCUUUUCAUAGGUCCUCGAUGCUUCUUAGAGGAAUUAGCGGUGCUUAGCCGCACGAGAUUGAGCGAUAACAGGUCUGUGAUGCCCUUAGAUGUCCGGGGCUGCACGCGUGCUACACUGGAAGACUCAACGUGCUCUCCAUCGCCGAAAGGUGUUGGCAAACCGUUGAAACUCUUCCGUGACUGGGAUAGGGAAUUGUAAUUAUUUCCCUUGAACGAGGAAUUCCUAGUAAGUGUGAGUCAUCAGCUCGCGCUGAUUACGUCCCUGCCCUUUGUACACACCGCCCGUCGCUAUCCGGGACUGAGCUGUUUCGAGAAGAGUGGGGACCGACUGUAUGUGGCUUAACGGCUAUGUAUAGAUGGAAACCACUUUAAUCGCAAUGGCUUGAACCGGGUAAAAGUCGUAACAAGGU